Molecule: ribosomal RNA, 409 nt
Filed under: uncultured bacterium
Lineage: Bacteria
Description: bacterial SSU rRNA
Rfam family: Bacterial small subunit ribosomal RNA
Source: RNAcentral
UGAGGAAUCUUCCGCAAUGGGCGCAAGCCUGACGGAGCGACGCCGCGUGAAGGAUGAAGGCCCUUACGGGUCGUAAACUUCUGUUCUGAGGGAAGAAAUUUUUGACGGUACCUCAGGAGAAAGUAUCGGCAAACCCUGUGCCAGCAGCCGCGGUAAUACAGGGGAUACAAGCGUUACUCGGAAUCACUGGGCGUAAAGCGUCUGUAGGUGCUUUGGUAAGUCUGCGGUAAAAGCUCGGGGCUCAACCCUGAGAGCGUCGCGGAAACUCCCAAAGUUGAGCAGUAGAGAGGCAUCUGGAAUGCCGCAUGUAGGAGUAAAAUCCGUAGAUAUGCGGUAGAACGCCAAAAGCGUAGGCAGGAUGCUAGCUACUUGCUGACACUGAGAGACGAAAGCGUGGGGAGCGAAGCGG